RNAcentral lists this ribosomal RNA (253 nucleotides) under uncultured bacterium. Its description in RNAcentral is "partial 16S ribosomal RNA". It matches the Rfam family "Bacterial small subunit ribosomal RNA", at positions 524 to 776 of the family's 1533-position model. The record is from RNAcentral.
UACGUAGGGGGCAAGCGUUAAUCGGAAUUACUGGGCGUAAAGCGUGCGCAGGCGGUUUUGUAAGUCUGUCGUGAAAGCCCCGGGCUCAACCUGGGAAUUGCGAUGGAGACUGCAAGGCUUGAAUCUGGCAGAGGGGGGUAGAAUUCCACGUGUAGCAGUGAAAUGCGUAGAGAUGUGGAGGAACACCGAUGGCGAAGGCAGCCCCCUGGGUCAAGAUUGACGCUCAUGCACGAAAGCGUGGGGAGCAAACAGG